Molecule: non-coding RNA, 787 nt
Organism: Vicugna pacos (alpaca)
Lineage: Eukaryota; Metazoa; Chordata; Mammalia; Artiodactyla; Camelidae
Source: RefSeq, a predicted model, not a curated record
AAUGUUGACCCAUUUGAAUUAAUGAAAGAGUUUCCCAGUUAACAAUUAGCUGCAUAAGGCCAUUUCCUGUAGACAUAAUAUUUGGGGGUGAUGCUUAUGAUUUGCUGCUUAAUUCAUCACAGCAUUGAUUGCUAAAGAUUGUUUUUCACCGCUGUUAUUCUUACAGUUAAAUGGAUUGAAUGAAGGUGAGCCUUCUCGGUUGCACACACCAGCUUUCUUGGAGCCUGCGCAGUGUGGCUCCCAUUUGAAGAACGUGGAGGGAUCAACUAGGCCAAAGGGACUGACUUUGGGCUCGAGGAGGACCUUGGAGAUGGCACCGGGACACCCCUCUGUACCAGAGUUUUCCAUUGCACCUGAAGCAUUUUCCAUUAUGGCCACUCCCAGGGAUGAGAAGAUAGCCCUGAAGUCUGAUGGGGCCAUUGAAAGCAGAAACCCAUCCUUCUCAAAUAUGAUUGAGUUUCCCUCCUUCCCUUCAGAGCAACCUCCCGCACCUGGCAUCCUUGCUUUCCGCAUCCUCUCUCUGCCGCCCUGAGAUGUUGUCCCCCUUUUACAGAUGAGGACACGGAGGCCUAGAGUGGGGAUGCUGCUUGCUUCAAUGGACUCCUGGAUCUUAACUUGAUUUGUGAUCAUUCGACUUUCAGCUGAGAGAGCUGUGGUGAUGUGCAAAUGACAGAAAGCCAGGACGGGGAUGCACUUGGAAAACAGUCACACCCUGCACAUGCAAAACGGGAAAACAGUUCUCACCUCUGGCAACCUCGGUCUCACUCUAAAAGUCAACACGUCUAAA